UACGGAGAGGACGAGUGUUAUUCGUAUUAACUGGGUGUAAAGCGUGCGUAGGCGGCCUUUAAAGUGGUAAUUAAAACAGUUUACGCCUUUACGGUGAAAUAUCUUUACCAUACUUUUAGGCUUGAGUUGUGGGGGGAGUAACAGAAUUCCGGGUGUAGGGGUAAAAUCUUUAAAAAUCCGGCGGACUAUCAUGGGCGCAGGCAGUUGCUCAUCCACAUACUGACGCUGAGGCACAAAAGCGUAGGUUUCAAACAGG
Molecule: ribosomal RNA, 256 nt
Filed under: uncultured bacterium
Lineage: Bacteria
Description: partial 16S ribosomal RNA
Rfam family: Bacterial small subunit ribosomal RNA
Source: RNAcentral